GAUUAAGCCAUGCAUGUCUAAGUAUAAGCAAUUAUACCGUGAAACUGCGAAUGGCUCAUUAAAUCAGUUAUCGUUUAUUUGAUAGUACCUUACUACUUGGAUAACCGUGGUAAUUCUAGAGCUAAUACAUGCUGAAAACCCCAACUUCGGGAGGGGUGUAUUUAUUAGAUAAAAAACCAACGCCCUUUGGGCUUCUGGUGAUUCAUGAUAACUUUACGGAUCGCAUGGCCUUGCGCCGGCGACGGUUCAUUCAAAUUUCUGCCCUAUCAACUUUCGAUGGUAAGGUAUUGGCUUACCAUGGUUUCAACGGGUAACGGGGAAUUAGGGUUCGAUUCCGGAGAGGGAGCCUGAGAAACGGCUACCACAUCCAAGGAAGGCAGCAGGCGCGCAAAUUACCCAAUCCCGACACGGGGAGGUAGUGACAAUAAAUACUGAUACAGGGCUCUUUUGGGUCUUGUAAUUGGAAUGAGUACAAUUUAAACCUCUUAACGAGGAACAAUUGGAGGGCAAGUCUGGUGCCAGCAGCCGCGGUAAUUCCAGCUCCAAUAGCGUAUAUUAAAGUUGUUGCAGUUAAAAAGCUCGUAGUUGAAACUUGGGUCUGGCUGGCAGGUCCGCCUCACCGCGUGUACUUGUCCGGCCGGGCCUUCCUUCUGGAGAACCUCAUGCCCUUCACUGGGCGUGUUGGGGACCAGGACUUUUACUUUGAAAAAAUUAGAGUGUUCAAAGCAGGCCUUUGCUCGAAUACGUUAGCAUGGAAUAAUAGAAUAGGACGUGCGGUUCUAUUUUGUUGGUUUCUAGGACCGCCGUAAUGAUUAAUAGGGACAGUCGGGGGCAUCAGUAUUCAAUUGUCAGAGGUGAAAUUCUUGGAUUUAUUGAAGACUAACUACUGCGAAAGCAUUUGCCAAGGAUGUUUUCAUUAAUCAGUGAACGAAAGUUAGGGGAUCGAAGACGAUCAGAUACCGUCGUAGUCUUAACCGUAAACUAUGCCGACUAGGGAUCGGGCGAUGUUCUUUUUUUUGACUCGCUCGGCACCUUACGAGAAAUCAAAGUUUUUGGGUUCUGGGGGGAGUA
This 1071-nucleotide ribosomal RNA is filed under the name Fenestella fenestrata. RNAcentral's name for it is "SSU rRNA". It matches the Rfam family "Eukaryotic small subunit ribosomal RNA", at positions 42 to 1125 of the family's 1831-position model. Lineage: Eukaryota; Fungi; Ascomycota; Dothideomycetes; Pleosporales; Cucurbitariaceae. The record is from RNAcentral.